AGCAGCCGCGGUAAUUCCAGCUCCAAUAGCGUAUAUUAAAGUUGUUGCAGUUAAAAGCUCGUAGUUGAAUUUCGGGGUUAGUAGGUUGGUCAUGCCACUGGUAUGUACUGAUCUUACUGAUUCCUCCUUCCUGAUGAACCGUAAUGCCAUUAAUUUGGUGUUGCGGGGAGACUGGACUGUUACUUUGAAAAAUUGAGUGUUUAAAGCAGGCUAACGCUUGAAUACAUUAGCAUGGAAUAAUGAAAUAGGACGUUCGAUCCUAUUUUGUUGGUUUCUAGGAUUGACGUAAUGAUUAAUAGGGAUAGGUUGGGGGCAUUAGUA
RNAcentral lists this unclassified non-coding RNA (321 nucleotides) under uncultured Glomus. RNAcentral describes it as "SSU rRNA". It matches the Rfam family "Eukaryotic small subunit ribosomal RNA", at positions 569 to 896 of the family's 1831-position model. Lineage: Eukaryota; Fungi; Glomeromycota; Glomeromycetes; Glomerales; Glomeraceae. The record is from RNAcentral.